This 254-nucleotide ribosomal RNA is filed under the name uncultured bacterium. Its description in RNAcentral is "partial 16S ribosomal RNA". It matches the Rfam family "Bacterial small subunit ribosomal RNA", at positions 524 to 776 of the family's 1533-position model. The record is from RNAcentral.
UACGUAGGGUGCGAGCGUUGUCCGGAAUUAUUGGGCGUAAAGAGCUCGUAGGCGGUUUUGUCGCGUCUGCUGUGAAAACUGGAGGCUCAACCUCCAGCCUGCAGUGGGUACGGGCAAACUAGAGUGCGGUAGGGGAGAUUGGAAUUCCUGGUGUAGCGGUGGAAUGCGCAGAUAUCAGGAGGAACACCGAUGGCGAAGGCAGAUCUCUGGGCCGAUAUUGACGCUGAGGAGCGAAAGCGUGGGGAGCGAACAGG